GGAGCGUUAGUUAAGUUGGUUAUAACGUCCGCCUGUCACGCGGAAGGCCGCGGGUUCGAGUCCCGCACGCUCCGCCA
RNAcentral lists this transfer RNA (77 nucleotides) under Pseudomonadota bacterium. RNAcentral's name for it is "Proteobacteria bacterium tRNA-Asp". It matches the Rfam family "tRNA". Rfam says of the family: Transfer RNA (tRNA) molecules are approximately 80 nucleotides in length. Their secondary structure includes four short double-helical elements and three loops (D, anti-codon, and T loops). RNAcentral also lists the same sequence under 3 other names. The record is from RNAcentral. Lineage: Bacteria; Pseudomonadati; Pseudomonadota.